Molecule: transfer RNA, 63 nt
Filed under: Mus musculus (house mouse)
Lineage: Eukaryota; Metazoa; Chordata; Mammalia; Rodentia; Muridae
Rfam family: tRNA
About the family: Transfer RNA (tRNA) molecules are approximately 80 nucleotides in length. Their secondary structure includes four short double-helical elements and three loops (D, anti-codon, and T loops). Further hydrogen bonds mediate the characteristic L-shaped molecular structure. tRNAs have two regions of fundamental functional importance: the anti-codon, which is responsible for specific mRNA codon recognition, and the 3' end, to which the tRNAs corresponding amino acid is attached (by aminoacyl-tRNA synthetases). tRNAs cope with the degeneracy of the genetic code in two manners: having more than one tRNA (with a specific anti-codon) for a particular amino acid; and 'wobble' base-pairing, i.e. permitting non-standard base-pairing at the 3rd anti-codon position.
Source: Rfam by way of RNAcentral
GUGUAGCUCAGUGGUACAGCACUUGCUUAGCAUGCAAGAGGCCUUGGAUUCAAUUCCUAAUAC